UACGUAGGGUGCGAGCGUUGUCCGGAAUUAUUGGGCGUAAAGAGCGCGCAGGUGGUUGAUUAAGUCUGAUGUGAAAGCCCACGGCUUAACCGUGGAGGGUCAUUGGAAACUGGUCGACUUGAGUGCAGAAGAGGGAAGUGGAAUUCCAUGUGUAGCGGUGAAAUGCGUAGAGAUAUGGAGGAACACCAGUGGCGAAGGCGGCUUCCUGGUCUGUAACUGACACUGAGGCGCGAAAGCGUGGGGAGCAAACAGGAUUAGAUA
RNAcentral lists this ribosomal RNA (261 nucleotides) under uncultured prokaryote. Its description in RNAcentral is "partial 16S ribosomal RNA". It matches the Rfam family "Bacterial small subunit ribosomal RNA", at positions 524 to 784 of the family's 1533-position model. The record is from RNAcentral.